GUAGGUGAACCUGCGGAAGGAU
Molecule: non-coding RNA, 22 nt
Filed under: Xenopus tropicalis (tropical clawed frog)
Lineage: Eukaryota; Metazoa; Chordata; Amphibia; Anura; Pipidae
Also listed under: 4 other names
Source: RNAcentral